UCCUCCAGGAAGCCUUCCAGAACUGCACAUCCCAAACGUCCACCCAUCAGCCGCCUCACUCUGACAGUUGUGCAGCCUCACACAGCACAUCACAUUCCCCAGCCAGAAUGGGAUGUGCUGCCCAGGUCUGUGACCCCUAUCUCUGUGUAGCCUCCGUGCCCCUAAGCUCACAAGGGUGGAUCAGAGUGUUUCCUUCUCCAUGCCUCCACAGAGAGGCCAGUGGAGUGGGGCAGGCAAUUUACUUCCACUGGGGCCUGAGCAAGCCCUGUGUGUUGGGCCCUGAUCUUCAGGGGACAUGAGGGUGGCUGAGAGCUGGUCCUAGGUAACAAGUCACGUGUUGGAAGGACCCCCAUACGUGACUCUAAGACAAGAGGGUUGGGAAAGAAGGGAACGCGUUAACUCCAGGUUUUGGGGAGUUGGGUCUGGGGGAAAAGGUGCUGACAAUGACAACUGCUGGUGAAUGAGGCAAGCAGGACAUGGCUUUGAGGAACACAGAACUGCAGCAAUGAAUGAAGGGUAGGGAGGAGGGGCCAGGAGGGGUGAAUCGGAAGCAUGUGUGGAGAACAGACGGAGGCUGAGUGUCCAGGGGAAGAGGCCACGUCUGAAGCCAGGGCACAGUGGCUUUGAAGGCCCAACGGUUUGAAGGUUAUUGCACAGGCCCUGGGCACAGGGGUCAACUCCUGGAUCCCCAGGACAGAGACAGAGGGGCA
RNAcentral lists this long non-coding RNA (710 nucleotides) under Pan troglodytes (chimpanzee). Its description in RNAcentral is "long non-coding RNA NONPTRT002252". The record is from RNAcentral. Lineage: Eukaryota; Metazoa; Chordata; Mammalia; Primates; Hominidae.